RNAcentral lists this transfer RNA (72 nucleotides) under Trimorphomyces papilionaceus. RNAcentral describes it as "tRNA-Ile". It matches the Rfam family "tRNA". Rfam says of the family: Transfer RNA (tRNA) molecules are approximately 80 nucleotides in length. Their secondary structure includes four short double-helical elements and three loops (D, anti-codon, and T loops). The record is from RNAcentral. Lineage: Eukaryota; Fungi; Basidiomycota; Tremellomycetes; Tremellales; Trimorphomycetaceae.
AAGCUUAUAGUAUAACGGUUAGUACUCACUGUUGAUAUCGGUGAAGUAGAGGUUCGAUUCCUCUUGAGCUUA